This is a non-coding RNA of Peromyscus maniculatus bairdii (prairie deer mouse), 805 nucleotides long. Lineage: Eukaryota; Metazoa; Chordata; Mammalia; Rodentia; Cricetidae. The record is from RefSeq and is a predicted model, not a curated record.
CGGACUGGAGCAAGUCACACUUCUCCAUACCUUUCCAUGGGGAUGAUACACAGGGCCAGGUACUCUACCACUGAGCUGGCCCUCGGCCCAAGUUCACUUAUCCGUGGCAAACUUUACUUGCACGAUAAAGGUCACUACCACAAGAGUUUGGCAUACAGCCUGGCAUGUGGAAACUGUGAAGAAAUGGUCGCUAUCAGCAUGACUGCAUGGGGGUGCAGAAUAUCUGCCCUUUCAAACUUGGCAUUGGUGGUAGGAAUUGCUUCACCUGACUAAGUCUAGCUUGCUAACUGAAAGAGAAAAUGCGAGGCUGCAGCGUUGCAAGGUCCCUGGGGAGCCCUGAACCGGGAUCCAAGUUUCCCCACUCCCUUCCUCUUCCUGAACUUUUCGUAGGAUGUUGUGCACACCUCCAGCAAUGCCAGCCAAAAGCCCUUGUGGCCAUGUCUUGCAGGGUGGGAAGGGCCUGGGACACCAGGCGGCAGUGGUUCCUUCUUGGAUGUGGGAAUCAGGUCAGUAGGAUGAACGUCUAAAGAGCUCCCAUCAGAGAGGAAGAGCUGACUGCGGCUUGCAUGGAGAGACAGGAGACCCGAGAAACAUAUCCUUACCCUGGGAAAAGCAAGAGGAUGAGGAUGACAGAUGGAGCCGAUGGAGCCCAAGAGCCUGGAGCACGAGAGUGAGAGACAUUGAAAUGCAAAAGUUGCGCAGCCUCUAACUCCCACCCUAACCUCGGCCUGGCACCAUGAGGGAACACAGGCCCAGGGGGUCAGACCUUUCGGAGUCAUUGAGAGAAUAUAGAAAAAUGAAUGUA